UACGGGGGGAGCAAGCGUUGUUCGGAUUUACUGGGCGUAAAGGGCGCGUAGGCGGUCGUGACAAGUCACUUGUGAAAUCUCCGGGCUUAACUCGGAACGGUCAAGUGAUACUGUCGGACUAGAGUACAGAAGGGGGCAACUGGAAUUCUCGGUGUAGCGGUGAAAUGCGUAGAUAUCGAGAGGAACACCUGCGGCGAAGGCGGGUUGCUGGGCUGAUACUGACGCUGAGGCGCGAAAGCCAGGGGAGCGAACGGGG
This 256-nucleotide ribosomal RNA is filed under the name uncultured bacterium. RNAcentral's name for it is "partial 16S ribosomal RNA". It matches the Rfam family "Bacterial small subunit ribosomal RNA", at positions 524 to 777 of the family's 1533-position model. The record is from RNAcentral.